RNAcentral lists this ribosomal RNA (498 nucleotides) under uncultured bacterium. RNAcentral describes it as "partial 16S ribosomal RNA". It matches the Rfam family "Bacterial small subunit ribosomal RNA", at positions 899 to 1397 of the family's 1533-position model. The record is from RNAcentral.
ACUCAAAUGAAUAGACGGGGACCCGCACAAGCGGUGGAGCAUGUGGUUUAAUUCGAUGCAACGCGAAGAACCUUACCUGGCCUUGACAUCUGUCGAAUCCUUCAGAGAUGAGGGAGUGCCUUCGGGAACGACAAGACAGGUGCUGCAUGGCUGUCGUCAGCUCGUGUCGUGAGAUGUUGGGUUAAGUCCCGCAACGAGCGCAACCCUUGUCCUUAGUUGCCAUCAUUAAGUUGGGAACUCUAAGGAGACCGCCGGUGACAAACCGGAGGAAGGUGGGGAUGACGUCAAGUCAUCAUGGCCUUUAUGGCCAGGGCUACACACGUGCUACAAUGGCAGGUACAGAGGGAAGCCAACCGGCGACGGGGAGCUAAUCCCAGAAAGCCUGUCUUAGUCCGGAUUGGAGUCUGCAACUCGACUCCAUGAAGUUGGAAUCGCUAGUAAUCGCAGAUCAGCAUUGCUGCGGUGAAUACGUUCCCGGGUCUUGCACACACCGCCCGU